UACGUAGGGUGCGAGCGUUAAUCGGAAUUACUGGGCGUAAAGCGUGCGCAGGCGGUUUGUUAAGACAGAUGUGAAAUCCCCGGGCUUAACCUGGGAACUGCAUUUGUGACUGGCAGGCUUUGAGUGUGGCAGAGGGAGGUAGAAUUCCACGUGUAGCAGUGAAAUGCGUAGAGAUGUGGAGGAAUACCGAUGGCGAAGGCAGCCUCCUGGGCCAACACUGACGCUCAUGCACGAAAGCGUGGGGAGCAAACAGG
RNAcentral lists this ribosomal RNA (254 nucleotides) under uncultured bacterium. RNAcentral describes it as "partial 16S ribosomal RNA". It matches the Rfam family "Bacterial small subunit ribosomal RNA", at positions 524 to 776 of the family's 1533-position model. The record is from RNAcentral.